GCUAUCACAAGUGUGGGGUUGAGUUGGAUGAGGAUCAAAUCGGUGAAAUACACGUACCGGGAUUGAUUCAUGAGGAACUGCCAUCAAUUAUAGAACAUGCAAAGCAGGGAGGAGAUGAACAUUGUGAUUCUCAGGUGAGGAUGGAAGCGGGAUACCAUGAAAACGAUGACGGGUUGACUUUGUGGGGGUCAACCGAACUGAAGUAGACACGGGGAUUGCAGUUAAACGAAAAGAGGAACCGUUGUCUAAGGAAAGAGAGUUUAGUAUGGUGAACUUGGAGAAAUUGUCAAUGGACACUGUAAAAGAAAACAACUCUACAGAGACGACAUCAAGGAUUACGAACACUUAUAAUAGGAGGACAAAAGAUAAUGAUAUGGGGACCGAAAAAGCUUUGGUGUCAUGGGUAGGUGGUGCCAAGAAAGGAGAAAGUCACAGUGACAUUAUACCAGUGGUGGAAGAAAAAGAACGGUCUUUUGAUCAUCUCGAGGGAUAUCAGGGUGGCGAAACUUCA
This 511-nucleotide long non-coding RNA is filed under the name Olea europaea subsp. europaea. Lineage: Eukaryota; Viridiplantae; Streptophyta; Magnoliopsida; Lamiales; Oleaceae. The record is from RNAcentral.